RNAcentral lists this ribosomal RNA (250 nucleotides) under uncultured prokaryote. RNAcentral describes it as "partial 16S ribosomal RNA". It matches the Rfam family "Bacterial small subunit ribosomal RNA", at positions 524 to 773 of the family's 1533-position model. The record is from RNAcentral.
CACGUAAGUCUCAAGCGUUGUUCGGAAUUAUUGGGCGUAAAGGGCAUGUAGGCGGUAUCCUAAGCUUGGUGUGAAAGGCAGGAGCUUAACUCCUGGACUGCACUGAGAACUGGGAUGCUAGAGUUACUGAAGUGGAAUCAGAAUUCCAGGUGUAGGGGUGAAAUCUGUAGAUAUCUGGAAGAAUACCAAUGGCGAAGGCAGGUUUCAGGCAGAUAACUGACGCUGAGGUGCGAAGGUGCGGGGAGCAAAC